CAUACUGUGAGAAAACAUUUAGAUACUAUUUGCAACAGGACAAGUUUGUAGAUCUUUUACGUAUAUUUAGCAAAAUUUGAUGUGUGCCUGCAGGUUGUCAGACACCAAGUGAUGUAUGAGCUCCAACAGCACUGCUCUGCAGUUGGUGACCUGCCUGCUCAGGGAGUUCAGGUCCACGGUUGGAUUAACAUCUCAUUCCUUCUGUAUGUCUGGACUGUGUCAGAGUACUGCUGGCCUUCAAUAUCUCCGCAUCUCAAACAAUGCUGGAAAUGAGUUGUACUUCACUACAGAGGCUAAUAGUGUUAUAACAGUAAUCACUUCAAGAAUAGUAUUUACCAUCUACCAAGAGAAAGGUAGGGAUCAAUCUACAUGUGUUCUCUAUCAUGUAUUAAAAAUGUUUAAGGUUGCACACAUUAAAAAAUAA
Molecule: long non-coding RNA, 424 nt
Filed under: Anas platyrhynchos platyrhynchos (common mallard)
Lineage: Eukaryota; Metazoa; Chordata; Aves; Anseriformes; Anatidae
Description: lncRNA (ENSAPLG00000017970.1)
Source: RNAcentral